CGCACAUUGCGCCCAUUAGUAUUCUAUUGGGCAUGCCUGUUCGAGCGUCAUUUCAACCCUUAAGCCUAGCUUAGUGUUGGGAAUCUACUGCCCGGGCGGCGCUACCCUGUAGCGCCUACCCUGUAGUUCCUGAAAACCAACGGCGGAUCUCUGGUGUCCUCUGAGCGUAGUAAUUCUAUCUCGCUUUUGUCAGGCGCCGCAGUUCUUGCCGCUAAACCCCUAUUUUCUAAUGGUUGACCUCGGAUCAGGUAGGAAUACCCGCUGAACUUAA
RNAcentral lists this unclassified non-coding RNA (271 nucleotides) under Amphisphaeria sp. RNAcentral describes it as "partial contains 5.8S ribosomal RNA, internal transcribed spacer 2, and large subunit ribosomal RNA". The record is from RNAcentral. Lineage: Eukaryota; Fungi; Ascomycota; Sordariomycetes; Amphisphaeriales; Amphisphaeriaceae.